CGGUAAUUCCAGCUCCAAUAGCGUAUACUAACGUUGUUGCAGUUAAAAAGCUCGUAGUUGGAUUUCUGAUCUUUGCCAAUGGUUGUGUCGCCGCGUACGAGGCGCCUUGCGCAGAGGUCAACAUAUGUCACGAGCCAGUGUGAUCUAUUCAUUUAGGUCCACUGGGUAAUGACUCGUUUACUUUGAGAAAAUUAGAGUGUUCAAAGCAGGCAUUUGCCUUGAAUAUGUUAGCAUGGAAUAAUAGCAUAGGACUUCGGUUCUAUUUGUUGGUUGUUCGAGAACUGGAGUAAUGAUUGAUAGGGACGGUUGGGGGCAUCCGUAUUCUCAAGCGAGAGGUGAAAUUCUUGGACCUUGGGAAGACGAACAGCUGCGAAAGCGUUUGCCUAGGACGUUCUCUUUAAUCAAGAACGAAAGUUGGGGGAUCGAAGACGAUCAGAUACCGUCGUAGUCUCAACUAUAAACUAUGCCAGCUAGGGAUCGGUGGGUCUUUGUCACGAGUCCAUCGGCACCUUACGAGAAAUCAAAGCAUUUGGGUUCCGGGGGGAGUAUGGUCGCAAGGCUGAAACUUAAAGGAAUUGACGGAAGGGCACCACCAGGAGUGGAGCCUGUGGCUUAAUUUGACUCAACACGGGAAGACUUACCAGGUCCGGACAUAGUAAGGAUUGACAGAUUGAAAGCUCUUUCUUGAUUCUAUGGGUGGUGGUGCAUGGCCGUUCUUAGUUGGUGGAGUGAUUUGUCUGGUUAAUUCCGUUAACGAACGAGACCCGCGCCUGCUAAAUAGUCGGCCUCACUUCUGUGGGUGUUGUACUUCUUAGAGGGACCAUCCUGGGUAUACCGGAAGGAAGUUGCGGGCAAUAACAGGUCCGUGAUGCCCUUAGAUGUUCUGGGCUGCGCACGGGCUACACUGCAAGAUACAACAAGCGUCGAUCACGCCUGACUGGAAGGUCCGGCCAAUCUUUGAAUAUCUUGCGUGAUUGGGAUAGACCAUUGCAAUUAUUGGUCUUCAACGAGGAAUCCCUAGUAAACGCGUGUCAACAACACGCAUUGAUUACGUCCCUGCCCUUUGUACACACCGCCCGUCGCUCCUACCGAUUGGAUGUUUCGAUGAGCCGUUUGGAGGACUAAGCUGAAAGCGUCAGCCGGGAGCUACGUCCGAAAUUCUGCAAAUCUGAAUAUCUAGAGGAAGGAGAAGUCGUAACAGGGUAAC
This 1207-nucleotide ribosomal RNA is filed under the name uncultured stramenopile. Its description in RNAcentral is "SSU rRNA". It matches the Rfam family "Eukaryotic small subunit ribosomal RNA", at positions 577 to 1803 of the family's 1831-position model. The record is from RNAcentral.